UGGGGAAUAACUGUUGGAAACGACAGCUAAUACCGCAUAAUAUUGCUGGAUAAUUUCCAGUAAUGAAAGGAGCUUUCAAGCUCCGCUGAUUGAUGAGGAUGCGGCGCAUUAGCUAGUUGGUAGGGUAAUGGCCUACCAAGGCAAUGAUGCGUAGCCGAUCUGAGAGGAUGAACGGCCACAUUGGGACUGAGACACGGCCCAAACUUCUACGGAAGGCAGCAGUAGGGAAUUUUUCACAAUGGGCGAAAGCCUGAUGGAGCAAUGCCGCGUGACUGAUGAAGGUCUUCGGAUUGUAAAGGUCUGUUGUAAGGGAAGAAAUGGUAAAACAGGAAAUGGUUUUAUCUAUGACGGUACCUUACCAGAAAGCCACGGCUAACUAUGUGCCAGCAGCCGCGGUAAUACAUAGGUGGCAAGCGUUAUCCGGAUUUAUUGGGCGUAAAGGGUGCGUANACGGUUUUGCAAGUCUGANGUUAAAUUUAGGAGCUCAACUCCUAAUCGCCUUGNAAACUACAAGACUAGAGUAUAGGAGAGGUUAGUGGAAUUCCAUGUGUAGCGGUGGAAUGUGUAGAUAUAUGGAGGAACACCAGUGGCGA
This 593-nucleotide ribosomal RNA is filed under the name uncultured Spiroplasma sp. RNAcentral's name for it is "bacterial SSU rRNA". It matches the Rfam family "Bacterial small subunit ribosomal RNA", at positions 137 to 718 of the family's 1533-position model. The record is from RNAcentral. Lineage: Bacteria; Bacillati; Mycoplasmatota; Mollicutes; Entomoplasmatales; Spiroplasmataceae.